This is a long non-coding RNA of Cryptomeria japonica (Japanese cedar), 671 nucleotides long. RefSeq lists it as uncharacterized. NCBI's taxonomy places the organism in Eukaryota, Viridiplantae, Streptophyta, Pinopsida, Cupressales, Cupressaceae. The record is from RefSeq and is a predicted model, not a curated record. The transcript is spliced from 3 exons.
UUAUUCUCUUCCCACUCACUCUUUUUUCUUGCUGGAAUUGAUGAAAAAUAUGGACAGCAAUUAAUAUUUGUAAAGAGGAUGGGAGGCAAAUUCGACAUCUGAAAGAUUUAGCCAGGUUAUUCUCUUUCCACUCCCUCUUUUUUCUUGCUGGAAUUGAUGAAAAGAUGGAUAACAAUUGAUAGUUGUAGAGAGGCAAAUUCGACAUCUGAAAGUUAUACCACAACAAACUCCAUGUUUGACGGUUUAGAUCUGAUAUGGUAUUUUCUAGUAAUGUCUGGCUCCUAAGUAAAUUUCAGAAUGUUUGAAGAUCCAACAAGAUUAAUGUCAUUGCCAGAAUUUGCCUCAAAUGCAAUUCUCUUAUGGUGAGUGCAUGUGAGUGGUUACUGCAACAGUACGAUGAAAGAAGCCGGUCAUUUUGUAAGUGGGUUUGUUAACUAUAAAUGGUGGGUCUUCUCUUUUCAUUUGUAACCUUACACGUACUAUAUUGGUUUGAUUGACUUAUUAGGGAUUCAAAUCCUUAGAAAAGCUCCCAAAACCAGACAUGAAAAGAAUUUAUUUUUAUUACAAGUAGGACACUAACAAAUUCUUGGUUUGGAAGGUGGUUAAGGCUCUCAUUCCCCUAAUGAAUGCUAGUUAUUUCUCCUACCUCUCUUAUGAGAGAAACUUUUUAA